RNAcentral lists this transfer RNA (396 nucleotides) under uncultured Microcystis sp. Its description in RNAcentral is "partial contains 16S-23S ribosomal RNA intergenic spacer, and 23S ribosomal RNA". The stretch from base 133 to 206 matches the Rfam family "tRNA". Lineage: Bacteria; Bacillati; Cyanobacteriota; Cyanophyceae; Chroococcales; Microcystaceae. The record is from RNAcentral.
AAGGGAGACCUAAUUCAGGUAUAAGACGAAAAAAAAGUAGUCCCUACCAAGAAUCAAUCCCAAAAGGUCGGAACGAGGUAUGAGGCUUUCAAACUAGGUUCUGGGUUCAUAAAAGACCUGAAUCAGGAACAAGGGCUAUUAGCUCAGGUGGUUAGAGCGCACCCCUGAUAAGGGUGAGGUCCCUGGUUCGAGUCCAGGAUGGCCCACCUGCACAGGUGGCAAAAACAAGAGAAGCGAGGAAUCAGCACCUUAUCUUACUGACAUAGUAAGAGAGAAUGCUGGCUCUGAGUAAAGAGUCCAGAGGAACCUUGAAAACUGCAUAGAGCUAGGUGAAAAAGCCAAAAAAGAAGACCGCAAGGUCAAGCUAAUAAGGGCUAACGGUGGAUACCUAGGCAC